GAUGAACGCUGGCGGCGUGCUUAACACAUGCAAGUCGAACGGAAAGGCCCAAGCUUGCUUGGGUACUCGAGUGGCGAACGGGUGAGUAACACGCGGGUGAUCUGCCCUGCACUUCGGGAUAAGCCUGGGAAACUGGGUCUAAUACCGGAUAGGACCACAUUUUGGAUGGUGUGGUGGAAAGUUUUUCGGUGUGGGAUGAGCUCGCGGCCUAUCCGCUUGUUGGUGGGGUGAUGGCCUACCACGGCGUCGACGGGUAGCCGGCCUGAGAGGGUGUACGGCCACAUUGGGACUUAGAGACGGCACAGACUCCUACUGGAGGCCGAUGGGGGGAAUAUUGCUCAAUCGGUGCCAGCCUGAUGCAGCGGCGCCGCGUGUGGGAUGACGGCCUUCUGGGUGUAAAAUCCCUUCGCUAGGGACGAAGCGUUAUGUGACGGUACCUGGAGAAGAAGCACCGGCUAACUACGUG
Molecule: ribosomal RNA, 466 nt
Filed under: uncultured bacterium
Lineage: Bacteria
Description: partial 16S ribosomal RNA
Rfam family: Bacterial small subunit ribosomal RNA
Source: RNAcentral